This 462-nucleotide long non-coding RNA is filed under the name Vigna radiata. RNAcentral's name for it is "long non-coding RNA (VRAD_LNC014521)". Lineage: Eukaryota; Viridiplantae; Streptophyta; Magnoliopsida; Fabales; Fabaceae. The record is from RNAcentral.
UCUGGUUGUUUUGCAGGUGAGGGUUUGGGUGCAUCGCAUUCUCCCUUCACACACACACAUAUUAUGCAUUUAUUGAGUGGGGCCCUAUACCCGGGUCUGAGCGUAACUUAGAAUUAGAGGAGUUGUGUAGCGGUGUCACUCUGGGAUGUACUUCCUGUUUAGCUAUCGUGAGAACUCUAGCUAGAGUCUGUUCUCUUCAUUUGUGUCUCCACACCUAGUUGAUUACUUGACUGUUGUGGAGAUGCUAUGAAGGGGGCCAUAGCUCUAGUGACCAUUGAUCCCUAGGUUCAGGGAGUCAUCCUUGUAAGAUUGCAUAUACUGGACCCCAAUCUGAAAUGUUGAACCUUCACUAGGGCACAAAGGGAGAUGUGUGUAUCCUUAUAACCCUCACUUUUGCAUAAUAAAGUCAAGCACCUUGUACAUAUCACUGCAUUCUUUCUUUGUUGCUCAUGUUUUUAUGGC